This 484-nucleotide ribosomal RNA is filed under the name uncultured bacterium. RNAcentral describes it as "partial 16S ribosomal RNA". It matches the Rfam family "Bacterial small subunit ribosomal RNA", at positions 30 to 507 of the family's 1533-position model. The record is from RNAcentral.
AUUGAACGCUGGCGGCAGGCCUAACACAUGCCAGUCGAGCGGAUGAAGGGAGCUUGCUCCUGGAUUCAGCGGCGGACGGGUGAGUAAUGCCUAGGAAUCUGCCUGGUAGUGGGGGAUAACGUCCGGAAACGGGCGCUAAUUCCGCAUACGUCCUGAGGGAGAAAGUGGGGGAUCUUCGGACCUCACGCUAUCAGAUGAGCCUAGGUCGGAUUAGCUAGUUGGUGGGGUAAAGGCCUACCAAGGCGACGAUCCGUAACUGGUCUGAGAGGAUGAUCAGUCACACUGGAACUGAGACACGGUCCAGACUCCUACGGGAGGCAGCAGUGGGGAAUAUUGGACAAUGGGCGAAAGCCUGAUCCAGCCAUGCCGCGUGUGUGAAGAAGGUCUUCGGAUUGUAAAGCACUUUAAGUUGGGAGGAAGGGCAGUAAGUUAAUACCUUGCUGUUUUGACGUUACCAACAGAAUAAGCACCGGCUAACUUCGUG